Molecule: RNA transcript, 3291 nt
Organism: Zerene cesonia (dogface butterfly)
Lineage: Eukaryota; Metazoa; Arthropoda; Insecta; Lepidoptera; Pieridae
Exons: 6
Source: RefSeq, a predicted model, not a curated record
UUUCUCCGAUGCAGAAAGCCUCGCGCGCUCGCGACGGGCUAACGUCGGUUUCAUCGCGCGCGCCCUAUCCCUACGACAAACCUGUUUUCGGUACAUGUGAUUAUGUUAUUUCAAAAGUAUUAUUAUCGUGCAGUGUUUUAUACGAACUAUAACGUGAACUAGUGAUAUUUGAAACUGAUUUUCUGUGUUUUUGUACUUUCGUGAAGUGCUUGAAAAGUUUUAAAAGUUACUAAAGAACUCAAACUUUUCAAGAUUGUUUCAAGUGGUUUUGUGUCGCGGGUCAUACUGGAUUUGUUGGCAGAUUUGGUAGAAAUUAAUUGAUAAUAAAGUUAAUUUUGUUGGUGAACUCAUAUCGGUGAUAAGCUGAUUGCUUGUGGUCAUAAACAAAAAGUUGACACACAUCGCUGCAGCUUAAUAUGUCGUAAGGUACUUACGCGGUUAUGAGACGAUGAGCCAUGGAAUCACGCAGUGCGCCGCCGAGCCCCGACGAAACAGGGGAGGCGGUGUUCGAUUCUCGCUGUGGUCGAUAUCCUCACCAACCAUCACUCCAGAGGGCCUUUGCAAGCUGCAGGGAAACAACCAGGCCCCGACCUCAUCAUCGUCAUGCGGUAUCAGAACCUGCACGACCAGAUGAAAGAGUUUUUACCACGGCAGAAGUACAUGAUUACCCUUCUUCAGAAUCUGGAAUCGCAGCAGACUGUCCACACGCUCACAGCAGUAACCCAGAUGAUAGUCCAUGCUAUGACCGCUCUGAUUACGAGGGAAAUUCAAGUUAUAGUUUAAGACAUAAUUUUCAUCACACGGUUGACUGCAAUAAGCAUCGUUCCGAAUUUCACCGUAGCCAUACUCCCGAUUAUCAUGAGCAUGGAUCAGAUAGUGAUAGGGGUCACCCUCGAAGUCAAACCAGCCGUCGACCUUACAGGAAACAUAGACGGGACGAAGAUGAUGGUGCUCAAUCUCUCGAUGAGCGAUGCGCUCGCGAUCUCGAUGAAAUUUUACCCGCACGGCUAGCAGGCAUGAAUUUAUCACGUGAUCAAACAUCUCAGCCGUGGAACCGAAGUAAUAUUGCCGCUACUAUGGAGCGAUUUGAGCCCGUCGAUUAUUCAUACGCAUAUUAUGACCAUCAUUUAUCCAUGCCUUCAUCGUCGAGGAAGGCUAACCGACAACGUGGACGAGGAAUACCAAGAGAUCGAUCUGCUCGACACAAUUACGUAACCAGAUAUGGAACAGAGGAAAAUAUUUAUGAGGAAAUAAGUGAUGGUUCAAGGACAUGCCCCAAACAUCGACAUGCUCCAAGACAAUCUCUUAUUUCCCUUGACAGAAGUGGAGUUGAGGAAGAAGUCCGACGAGUAGAAUCGAGGCAUAAACGGAUAUUAGGAGAAUUAAAUCUAAGCGUUGAAGCCAUGCUAAUGCCAGAAUGUGAGUCGCCAGAUUCAGAACGAGCAGAGGAUCGGGAUAACAUUGAAGAAUUACUAAGGGUGGGUCCUACUGAUGAAUUAUUAUCCCCUGCAAGUUGUAAUCCUCCUGAUUUAGACAGCGGUUUUAGUGGAAGUAGUAGCGGUGCUAGUUACGUAGGCAGUUUGAGAAGAAAGCCGACAGGGUCAGUUCCACAUUUACCAGCUGUUGCAUAUGGAACGCGUGGCGCUGGAGUGCGUAUUUUGGGUGCUGAUGAUUGUCAUUUACGUUGCCCUAGAGAUGUUCCGUCACCACGAAGUUCCAGUUGCGGCGAUGCAAAGUCAAGCGGCUUCUGGAAUAAGAAAGCAUGGAAAAAAAUAUCUGGCUUUUCAAGUUCCAAUAGCAUCAACAAAGCUGGCUUGACCGGUCUACUCGUUAGGUACACUUUCCGGCGUAAGUCCGGCUCGCAGGGCUCUCAAGGCAAGCGAAGACCUGAGCCCGUCAAAUGCGAUGCGUGCCUCUCCCAACGAUGUUAGCCGAUCUAUGAUGAAGCCUGUAGGCCAAGCAGAGCUAAAUCCAGAACUGCUACUAUCCCAUACAGCUACUCCAACGGAAAAUUGGUAGUGCCGCUGGAUUCCCUAGCACAGAGCUAAGGGAGUGAGGAAACAACUCGUCACGCCCGCCUCAGUUUCUACCAUGAAUCUUAUCAAUCACAGAGACAACGACUGUCCAGAAUAUAUAACACUGCGUCUAUAAUAUAAAUUUAUUUGUGUUAGAUGUUUAAUAUGUGUUUGCUUAGAAAUAACAUUCCAAACAAUACAUAUAUAUGAGUAACAAUAAAUGAAUAUUAUGUGCACCUCAAUGGGUCUUAAAGACACAUCGUGAAGGCUUUGACAACCGUCGUGUAAAAAUUGUAAAUAAAAGUAAAUAAAGGCGAGUAUACGUUGACAUGAUAGCCUAAAUGAUAUUUUGCAUUGUUACAUCAAGUUUCAUAGAAACAUAGAGGGAUGUUGUUGUUACUUAUCAAUUUUUAGAUGAUAUUAGGGUACAAGAAAAGGCUGAACAUGACAUUUUGUACUUCAACUUUUUUAAUUUAAAUUAGCACAGAGAGCGUAAGAAAUUGCAAAAUUGCUAUUUAUUUAAAAGUAAAAUGGCUUCUUACUCACAAAUCUACUUGAUUACAUAGUAAUAUUUUCUAUAAAUGUAAAUAAACAGGCAAAUCACUUCACUAUUUUUUGGCGCUGAUUUUUGUACAACAGUCGACCUAUGUUUUGGUGCUUAGUACUAUCAAAAUAAUAGAUAAAUCUUAUUCGAAAUAUCUCUUGCACAUGUAAUGAAUCUCAUGGUCCAACCGAUUAUUUAUAAAACUUGUAAUAAAGCCCUAAGAGGAGUGCUAAGUUAUUCUUUCACGUAAUGAGCAUUGUUAAUAUUUGUUACAUUAUUUGUAUAUUUUGUAAAUAUAAAUAGAAAUGGUGCACACAUUUAUUACUUUAAAUGUUUUUUGUAAAUAAAAAAUAAUCACAUGUAGUAAAUAUGUAAUCAAUUAUUUGGAUAAUGAAUGAUGAAUACAGAACCAUCACUGGCGAACUGCCUUAAAUAUUAUUCGUGUGGAUUAGAAGAGAGCACUUAACAAUGAAUUGUUUUAAAUAAAAAGUAAUCUAGGAGAUUUGUAUAUAAUAUACAUUCAUUUAUACUCCAACACGCUUUUCGUAAAUUAUUGUAAAUAUUAAUAUUUAUAUUUGUUUUAAUCAGCGAGUUAUUAAUUUUGUACGUAUCGUAAGUAACUCGACUGAUAUUACAUAAAUAAUAAUCAAUGUUACACGAAAAUUUUUGUCUGUAAUUAGUGAUCGUGUUCAAGUCAAAAGAGAUUUUUAUUAAAUAAACAUUAAAAAUCAA